This 495-nucleotide ribosomal RNA is filed under the name uncultured bacterium. RNAcentral describes it as "partial 16S ribosomal RNA". It matches the Rfam family "Bacterial small subunit ribosomal RNA", at positions 28 to 507 of the family's 1533-position model. The record is from RNAcentral.
GACGAACGCUGGCGGCGUGCCUAAUACAUGCAAGUAGAACGCUGAAGGAGGAGCUUGCUUCUCCGGAUGAGUUGCGAACGGGUGAGUAACGCGUAGGUAACCUGCCUGGUAGCGGGGGAUAACUAUUGGAAACGAUAGCUAAUACCGCAUAAGAGUAGAUGUCGCAUGACAUUUGCUUAAAAGGUGCAACUGCACCACUACCAGAUGGACCUGCGUUGUAUUAGCUAGUUGGUGAGGUAACGGCUCACCAAGGCAACGAUACAUAGCCGACCUGAGAGGGUGAUCGGCCACACUGGGACUGAGACACGGCCCAGACUCCUACGGGAGGCAGCAGGAGGGAAUCUUCGGCAAUGGACGGAAGUCUGACCGAGCAACGCCGCGUGAGUGAAGAAGGUUUUCGGAUCGUAAAGCUCUGUUGUAAGAGAAGAAAGAGAGUGAGAGUGGAAAGUUCACACUGUGACGGUAUCUUACCAGAAAGGGACGGCUAACUACGUG